UUCACAGAGGUAUCAAAAGCUGCUCUAAAAGUUCUGAGCUUCUGAAUACAAUCUAGAACAAUGGACGUACAGAAAAGUGCCACUUUAAUUUUUUCAAAACAUCUUCUUUUGGGAUCACAUGGGUUUGGAAUAACAUGAAAGGGAGUUAAUGACCACAUUUUCGUUUUGAAGUGAACUGUCCCUUUAAAGAAGGACCACCAGGUUGCCAAGCGAGAGAGGGGGAUGUGAGACAGAGAGAGAAAAUCAAAAGAAGAGGGGGAGUCUGGAUGAGGACUAUUGCGGCCAACUCGUUCUGUUGAGUUGAGAAGCAGCAUCUGGAAACGUUUAUGUCUGCGCAGCUACGGCCCCAACAGUUACAUCACUCAGAGGAACACUUCCCUGCCCCCAACACACACACACACACACACAUUCAUAUACACACACAACAACCCCCAGUAACCCAGUACGAUUUCCUGCAAAUUCCAAAGUCGGAUCCCGGCUGGAACACUUCAGUGCGCUUGCCACGUCACUUUGCCUCUUCUUUCGUCCCUUUUUUUUUUUUACUUUCGUCCUCUCUUUUCUUCAUUUAUCGCUUUCUCUUUACUUCGAAAACCACUGCUAAAGGAAUAAUUCUCAGUGUUAUUCAUAAAACAACGAUAAAGAGCGAAAACUGCACUCGGUUCAGAAUUCGAAAAUGGAGCCAUGAUGGCAAAGCGAUCUGUAUUCCUCGUGAAGAAACUACAGAGGCCUGGAAUAUGCAUUUGCCACGCAGCAGCGGACAUUCGUGUGCGGUCCUCGGGGCAGUGACCUGCGGUCCAGCCGCCCUCUUUCCUCCCCCCCGCCUGCCCAGUGUUCAGACUACCUGUUCAUCAUGCUGCAGCUGAACAGUAGUCCGCACAUUGGUUAGGCUGGGCAGGGACACACACACCCGUGGCUCAAGCAAAUGGACUCUACCAUUCGCUCCUGGAUGGGGGGAUUUUACAUAUAAACAAUCUCUCUUGGGGAAUGAAUUGAGACGUUUACAUUGAAGUUGCUUUGGAGCAUCUGCCAAAUGCACUCAAGUACACAUUCAUAAAUGUAUGUACUCCCUGGAAAUAAAACCCAAGGCCUUGAUGUUACUAGCACCACAUUCUACCAGUCAAGCCACAGGAACUCUGGAAAACAGCUAACGUUUGCACUAAUUUCAAACACACAUGGCGCUCGAGCCCAACUUGAGUGGAGCUGAUUUUAAGCUGAAGCCACAGGGGGAGGGACUGCAAAAGAGAAAUGAAGAACAUAUCUCACCUCCUCAUCCUUAUACCAGGAGAGCGAUUCGGCCGUCAGGAUGAACCAGUACUCCUUGGAGCCGCCCUUCAUAAUGCUGAUGUUGAGGGUUAGCCAGCCUUUACGGAUUACCUGUGGGACAGAGGGAGGAGGGGGGCGGAGGGUGUAGGGCAUGCCAAAAGAGUGGGGAAACAGUUAUGAGAUCCACACAUGUACAUUCAACAGUCUUUGUGCUGGAAGCUUGUGUCCUAUGCUGAUCAAUCCUGAAAACCUUACUGUGCAGGCCUUACCUGUUGUGGAAAUAUUUUGUGUAACUCUACUAAAGUCUGGUUGCCUUCUAUAGUGGCUAAUUUGAUUAACUAAAUAACUCAGCUUUGUACAAUACAGCAGUGGUUCUCAACUGGUUUAAAAAAAAUAAAUUUAGGCAAAAAAAAAAAAGGUCCAUUGUUUCGAAUUUUUGUUGCGGGUAAAAAUGGUACAUUGUUUUGUAAAAAAAAAAAAAGAAAUUAGACAAAAAAAGGUAAAUUGUUAUUAAGUUUCAUUGUUAAUAUUAGCAAUGGAUAACACAUUAAUUCAUUUCUUUUUUAAAACAAGUAGCAUUAUGUUUGUAAACAGAGCGAAUCUGCGCGAACAGGUUGAAGUUGCGAAAUGUGCUUGUGGAAAUCUUCCGCCCACGCGUGCAAUUCACGAAUGCGGGGAUUCCAAUUGAAAUGACUACUGUUAAAUGAAAAUUUGCUGAAGUAUAGACAAUACAUAUAUAGUCCAUCAAUAUGCAAACAUAUUAGCAUAAAAAUAAAUAUUUUUAAACAGGAAAAGUGAUGAACACAACUGCAUGAACAACAGCAGAGGUGCGAUUUACCAACAUUAAUGCAUAAAAAAUGUUGUAUCAGUAAUUGCGAAAAUGCCCUGAUUUUUGAUUAAAAGUGUUUUUUUUUUUUUUUUUUAAAGCUGAUAUACAAAAUUAUAUGCAUAAUUUUAGCAUUAGGUUGCGUUCCACCAGUUGGGAACCACUGGACUCUGUAGUAUCUAGCUGUACUCUGCAUGUAGUCGGAACAUAAGGCCGCAAUUAAAGCAUAGUUACAGAUAAACACUUUAGAAAAUCUGAAUAUACACUAACUAAACCACUGGGUAGGUGUCUUUAAGUCUUGAAAUAGAGCAACAAUAAAAGAACAAAGGAACAA
Long non-coding RNA from Carassius gibelio (silver crucian carp), 2423 nucleotides. RefSeq lists it as uncharacterized. The record is from RefSeq and is a predicted model, not a curated record. NCBI's taxonomy places the organism in Eukaryota, Metazoa, Chordata, Actinopteri, Cypriniformes, Cyprinidae. The transcript has 2 exons.